GAAAUGCGAUAAGUAAUGUGAAUUGCAGAUACCGUGAAUCAUCAAAUCUUUGAACGCACAUUGCACUGCCUGGAACUCCGGGCAGUAUACCUGUUUGAGCAUCAGUAGAGUCUCUCUAACCAAAGUUGGAGGAGGUGAGUGAACACCCAGAGAUGGGUGCCACUUUAAAAGCGACUAGGGGAGGGGGUGACAGUGAUAAGCAAUCUGUCCAUCUGCCCCACGACCAUAAAAAAGAUCUCAAAUCAGGUAUGACCACCCGCUGAACUUAA
This 269-nucleotide unclassified non-coding RNA is filed under the name uncultured fungus. Its description in RNAcentral is "sequence contains ITS1". The stretch from base 1 to 104 matches the Rfam family "5.8S ribosomal RNA", at positions 50 to 154 of the family's 154-position model. The record is from RNAcentral. Lineage: Eukaryota; Fungi.